CGAAUGGGUUAAGUGCAUUUUAUUCUCCUAUUCCCGAAAACUGGUCAACUUCUUUAUAUACAAUUUUCUUACAAAUCAAAGUACAAGAUUUACCGGAAGACCCCAUUCUCAAUUUUACUGGCUUUUGUUAACGCAUUUUUGUGCGUCUAAUGUUAAGGUCCCACUGCUUAAUUAAACACAGAUCUUCCAGAUCUCCAAAUCCACAUUUUUUUCUCAAUCCUCGUCUCCUAAACCUGAGAAAAAGUAAAUUAAAUCGCUUGGCAGGCAGCAUUGUGUAGACAAAGACUGGGGUGGUUUGGGAGGUUUUUUUCUUUAAACAAACUUUAAAUUAUUUUUUUGUUGACAUCGUUUCUUUAACACUGACUGCUUAAUGGAUAGGAGAUUUUAAAAAUCUAUCCAUUUUGAUCCUUUUAAACACUUCUGUCCUUCAGUUUCUAGGAGACCCUCAGUCUGUCAUAUGGCUUAUGUAACCGUGCCUUUAGGUGUUUCUCAUGACCUGUAAAGAUACAUUUGGGUCAUUUUUACUUUAUUCACAUUAUCCAUUUCCUCCACAUUUUAGACUUUCUGACUCUAUAUUUUCCUUUCAUCUCAUUCUGGAUUCUAUUUAUCGUUUAUUACUUUGAUUUCUUAAAAAUAUGAUCAUUAAGUAAGGGCUACUACUGACACAUUCUCCCCAGGCUACUGGUCUUGCAUAUAAAGCUAAGUGCUAAACAUCUGAGGAACUGUUUCCUCUUGAAUUGUACAAUAAACAUGAUCAACGCUAACAGCUUCUAUUAAACUGUAACUACUGCUGAUAACCCCCAUCUGCAAAUUUAACUGGUAAAUUAUGAGAGGCAUUCCGUUGGAAGUCCUGGUCUUGGCAACCUAAUUGGUAAGUGAAUAUGGUUUUAUACAGUUCGACAGCUAAUACAUUGAAAUGAAUCUUAUCGGCUGGGCGCGGUGACUCAAGCCUGUAUUCCCAGCACUUUGGGAGGCCGAGGUGGGUAGAUCACAAGGUCAAGAGAUCGAGACCAUCCUGGUCAACAUGGUGAAACCCCGUCUCUACUAAAAAUACAAAAUAUUAGCUGGGCAUGGUGGCGCGUGCCUGUAAUCUCAGCUGCUCAGGAGGCUGAGGCAGGAGAAUUGCCUGAACCCAGGAGGCGGAGGUUGCGGUGAGCCGAGAUGGAGCCAUUGCACUCUAGCCUGGGUAACAAAAGCGAAACUCCGUCUCAAAAAAAAAAAAAAAAAAAAGAAAUGAAUCUUAUCAUUAGUGCAAUAUAAGUUGUUAUUGAUUUUGAGCUUAUGUGCUUUCCUAUUUUAAAGAUUGGUUUUUCCAUAUGAACUAAAAGGUGGCCAGCUUGAUGAUGCCUUUAAAACUUUACAAAUAUACUUAUUAAAUUAAAUAUUUGAACUAUUAUUAUCUUUAUAUUGUUUGCAAUUAAUGAAUAUGACUUUCAAAACAGAUGAGUUCUAAUGUUUUUAACUGCUUAGGCAGAAGUGCUUUUUUGAAGAAUGCUUGCACAACUUUAUGCCUAAAUUUUCACUCUGACCUUUGUGCUCAUUAUUUCUGAAUUUUUAUGUUCUAUGACCUGCUUUGCCCUUUCACUAAGCCCCUUCAUUGAAGAGUCAUCAAGAAACACAAAUUGGCUGGGCACAGCAGCUCACACCUGUAAUCCCAAGCACUUUGGGAGGCCGAGGUGGGUGGAUCACUUGAGGUCAGGAGUUCGAGACCAGCUUGGCCAACAUGGUAAAUCCCCGUCUCUACUAAAAAUAUAAAAAAUUAGCCAGGCAUAGUGGGCACCUGUAAUCCCAGCUACUUGGGACACUGAGGCAGGAGAAUCGCUUGAACCCAGGAAACAGAGGUUGCAGUGAGCCAAGAUCACGCCACUGCACUCCAGCCGGGGUGACAGAGCCAGACUAUAUCUCAAAAAACAAACAAAAAAAAAAACCAGGAAUUAUUCCAAAUGUCUUAUGCAUGCAUUUUCUUAUUUCUACCAAUAUUAAUAUACUUCAGACCUACGGUAUCAGUUUUUUAUCACUGCAUAAUAACAAUAGUGAUUUUAAAGAAUUACCAUUUUAUUUGUUCAUAAUACCAUUAUCAUCAAUUUGGACAGGGUUCAGCUAGGUGGUUUGUCUGCUAGCUUACCUGGGAUCUCUUAGGUGAUUUUCUUGUUGACUCAGCUGGAGCUGGAUGCUUAUAGAGCCUCACUCUUUUUUUUUUUUUUGAGACGGAGUUUCACUCUUUUGUUACCCAGGCUGGAGUGCAAUGGCACGAUCUCGGCUCACCUCAACCUCCACCUCCUGGGUUCAGGCAAUUCUCCUGCCUCAGCCUCCUGAGUAGCUGGGAUUACAGGCAUGCGCCACCAUGCCCAGCUAAUUUUUUGUAUUUUUAGUAGAGACGGGGUUUCACCAUGUUGACCAGGAUGGUCUCGAUCUCUUGACCUUGUGAUCCACUCGCCUCGGCCUCCCAAAGUGCUGGAUUACAGGUGUGAGCCACCGCGCCUGGCCUGAGCCUCACUCAUUUUUUUGGAAGUUGGUGCUGGCUGUUGACGGAGCCAUGUGUCUUCAGGAAGCUAGCAUGGGUUUUGUCACAUGGUGGCAGUGUUCCAAGUGAGUUUAAGCACCAGUGCACAAGUAUUUUUCAGGCUUCAGCUUGUGUCAUAUUUGCUGAUAUUCCAUUGACAAGUUUCAUUGGCAAGUCACAUGGCCAAGCCCUAAGUCACUGUGGGAAGGGACUACAAAAAAAACGGGGAUACAGAGAAAUAGAGGCUCUUACUGUAACAAUAGACAACACCUAGGGUAAAGGGACAGCCUCUGAUAUAUUCUGCUAGACUCUUGUCCUGCCGUCCUCCUGUUUAUUCUACACAACCACAACUGGGCAGUCCUUCUUAAACACCAGUUAUUCUUUCUCCAGCUCUUUAAUUCUCAAUCAGGUAAUAAUUUUGUUUCCCAGGAGACAUUUGGCAGCCUGAUGACAUUUUUGGCUGUCUUAAUUUGAGAAGGAGGAGAUGCUCCUAGCAUCUAGUAGAUAGCUACAGGGAUGCUGCUGACUAUCCUACAAUGCACAGGCCAGAGCCUCCCCUCCUUCCCAUUACAAAGAAUUAUCUGGCCAAAAAUGUAAAUUGUGCUGAGGUUGAGGAAGCCUGUACCCUAACUCAUAAACCCCCAGUGGUGCUCCAAUACAAAGAGAACUAAAGAUAAAUGCUUCGUCUGAGCAUCCAAAACUCUCUGUAAUUCGGUCCCACCACAUAGAUCAAAUAUUUCACACUUUAGUCUCCAUCAGGGCUUCUACUGUCCCCAAAUAAGCCACACUUCAUCACAUGAUUAAGUUAAUAGCUCCUCAUUAUCAGGAAAAAUGUAAAUAUCAAGCAGAUCUUUUAGCUUUUCUCUCUUCUGUCUAACCAGACCAUUUCCCAGCUUCAGUAAAAGAAUUGGAUCCUGCUUUUCUACAAAAGUUUGCACAACUGCAUUGUGACCUGCCACUCACAAAUACAUCACUUAGUCUGUAUGUCAGUUCAGGUAUCAGGCAGCAGGAAUGUUUUUUAAUAACCCCGGCAACAUACUCAGGGGAUAGCCACGGUCAUAUAAUCUGUCUCUAAUUAUUUUCAAGAAAUAGAAAAGACAGAAAAAAGAAAUAGGAGGUACUUCUUUUUUAUUUUAGCAUUCAGAAGCAGCUAGCCAGGAACUGGAGAUAACAGAGCAGCCUUUGAGAGCCAGUGAAUUAGUAGGUAAGGAGAGCUUGCCCAUGGUUGUCAGCAUGACUUAAAAAGAUCAGCUUCCUCUCUGGCUGCUCAGAAUUUUAAGAAUCAGAGAUAAUCUUGUUAUAGCCUGUUUUUCAAAGGAGUGGAAAGGUAUCUUUGGAAAAAAAUAGUUUUGUCAUCAGUUACAUUUGUAAAACACAAAUAAAUUUGAGAAAGAAUCCUAUAUUCUUUUGAAACAAAGCUGUUCGAUCGAAUACUUCCUAAAUGUAUUUGACUAUGGUAACUUUGACUUUUGGGUUUUGGUUUGGUUUGGUUUCAAUUUCCAUGAGCUUUCCACAGACUUAGUGCACUUCUUUAGGAGACCUCAUGUUAGACAAUGACUAGGCUGGUGAGUCAUGAGAAGUGAUCCCUUGCCACUACACCGUAAAUUGGACCAACUUCCCAUAAUGGGAAUGAGCACACCACUUUAACCUGCUUUUCAUCUGGUAAGUGGGAAAAGCUUAUAGUGGAAGCCUAUUGUAAUCCACCCUGUAAGAUUUCCUUCAGGAGCAAGAGCGUUCCUCAGAGCAUGACUUAAUACUGCAGUUACUUUGCCCCAGAAAGACCCGAAAUGCCAUUUAAAAUGGAACUAGAGAUCUUAGUAAUGGCAUACCACUGAGGCACCAGCUAGGAGGUUCAGAAACACUCUGAAACGUACAUAGCCCUGUAAGACCUUGAGUCUUAGUUUUCUCAUGCAUAUAUAUACUCAGGACUUACCAUUCCUAAGGAGGUUACAGGAAAAUUGUUGGAGAUUUUGCAAAAAGGAAUGUGUCAGCAAACUUGUAUCAUAGUGAUCUACUUUCCCUUUAUGUAAAGCAUGAAAAAAGAGAAAGUAAUAACAUAUAUUCCUAUCCAUAAUUAGCAAGUUUGAACAUCCUGUCCUGUUUGCUUCCGAUCUAUUUUUUUAAAGAAAGCAUCAUAGACCCAGUUGAACUUCCCCUUUGCUGCAUAUUGUUUCUAUAAUUAAUAUUUAGCAUUGUUGUCUAUGUGUUGUGUUGGCAGUUAUCAGACUUUGGUAAAUCUUUCAUUUGAGAAAAUUAUGUAUUUCUGUAAUGCUCCAAACAAUAUGAAAUACCAUUUCAUGUCUUGAACCAGAGCAGAGUUGGCAUUCAUUAUUAGAACUGAGCAAGAAGUGUUGCAUUUCAAACUUCUGAUCCCAUUUUGUGAUAACUAAGCAAAACUCAUGUCAUUUUUCCACAUGAGCAAACUGUGUGUCUCGUCCAUCAUGCUCCUCUCAGUUAAGACAAAAGUCUGUGUUUUUAAUUUAUUAAUUAUUGAUGUAUUUAUUUUUUGUAACAGGGUCUCACUCUCAUGCAGGCUGGAAUGCAGUGGUGUGAUUACAGCUCAUUGCAGCCUCGACCCCCCUGGGCUAGAUGAUCCUCCCAUCUUGGCUACUGGAGUCAAUGGGACUACAGGCACGCACCACUAUGUCCCAGCUAAAUUUUCUUGUAUUUUUUUGCAGAGUUGGGAUUUCUCCAUGUUGCCCAGGCUAGUCUCAAACUCCUGGGCUGUAGAUUUGCCUGCCUCAGCCUUCUGAAGUCCUAAGAUUACAGGCAUGAGCCACCAUACCCAGCUGCUAUUUUAUAUUAUAUAUGCAAGAAGUAGAGAAAUCAAAUCUAAUAAAAAUACAUGAACCUCAGUUCACUUUUGGACAGCAGAAAAAGCAAAUGGUGGUAAGCAGAAUUCUACCCCAUUCCUAGGCACCCCAGUUCCUACCCCUUGAUGUACAUGCUCUGCAUAAUCCCCUUUGAAGUGAACAAGACCUGUGAACAUGAUGGGAUAAUCACUUCUGUGAUUACAGUAUGUUAUAUGAUUCCAUUUCCCUCCUGGCUUUGAAGAAGUGAGCUGCCAUGUCAUGAGAACACCAGGUGGCUAGAACCUGAAGAUAGACCCUAAGGAGCUGAGGAUGUUACCCUGCUGACAGCCAGCAAGAAAUGGGUACCUCAGCCCUGUAACUGCAAGGAAUUGAAACCUGCCAACAACCUCUGUGAGCUUGGAAGAGGACCUAAGCUUGUGAUGAGAACACAUCCCCAGCUUGAAAUCAGAUCUACAUAUUGAUUUUAGCAUUGUGAGCUACUGAGCUGAGAACCCAUUUCAGCUGUUUCUGGAUUUCUGAACUACAGAACUAAGAUGACAAAAGGGUAGUGUUUUAAGUUGCUAAGUUUGUGGUCAUUUGUUUACAGCAAUUGUAAACUAAUACAGAAGUGUACGUUUGUUUUCUUAAGGGAGAAGGAGGUAAGUGUUGAAGGAUCGAAACUCUGACAAAAGGCUGGUUGCAGAACAUGACAGGUUGUUGUGCAGGAAACUAUCAUGCAAGUUUAUGUUAAAAUAGAGUAGCUUUUGAGGACUUUCAUUUUUGGUAUUGUAAACAUAAGUCAUUUAAUAUUGUCUAACUGUAACUGAUAAUACCUUUUGCAAAAAGAAACUGUAAAACUUUCGUUUUACUCAGAAGUAAUGGUGCAGCCAUAGAGAUGGAGAAUCCUCAGUUCUAAGAAAAAAAAAAAGAUGAAAAUAAAGGAACACAGAUUAUCUGGAGUGGAUACAGCUGAGCAUGGAUUCUAAGCAUGAUAAAUGCAUGAAAAGUCUUUCAAAUAACCUGGACUAUGACUAGUACUUAUUGUUUCUUAAAGGAGAAAUAUAGUAUCAAACGCGAAAUUACAAGUCUGUUUUUAGAAUUUGUCACCUGUCUGUGUUUAGUGAGGGGAUGUUGAGAAUAUCUAAAGUUUAAAACCAGCUGUAUUCCAAAGGAAAGGAUGUUGGUCCUUUGAGAGAUACCAGAUGUCAGUAAAUCCAGCUCACCACCCACUAUUGUAGGGCCCAUUCACUGAAAUGCUUUUUAUGUUUUAAAAAAAGCAAAAGAAACAUUUUAGAAUAUGUGAAAUUAUAUGAAAUUCAAAUUUCAGUGUCCAUAAAGCUUUAUUGUAACACAGUCACACUCAUUAGCUUUUAUGUUGCAAGAAAAUGGCUGAGAAGCUGUGACACACAUAUGGCCUGCAUAGCCUAAAAUAUUUCCUCUCUGCUCCUUUACAGAAAGUUUGUCAACCCUGCAAUGUAGGAAGAAGGGAAGGAUGAACACAUUUCAUGUAUUCUUAUAGCACAAGCUAACUUUAUGUAUUGGCAAGGAAUCUUUUUUUUUUUUUUUCUUUUGAGACGGAGUUUUGCUCUUGUUACCCAGGCUGGAGUGCAAUGGCACCAUCUCCGCUCACCGCAACCUCCGCCUCCUGGGUUCAGGCAAUUCUCCUGCCUUAGCCUCCUGAGUAGCUGGGAUUACAGGCACGUGCCACCAUGCCCAGCUAAUUUUUUUUUUUGUAUUUUUAGUAGAGACGGGGUUUCACCAUGUUGACCAGGACGGUCUUGAUCUCUUGACCUCAUUAUCCACCUUCUUAUUUUCAAACCAGUCUUUUACCUGCAGCACCUCUAAAAUGUGUUUAAACCAGUUAGAAACAUAGUAACCACAUCGUAGGGAAAGAAGUGAUCACAAGGAAAUGGUGGUAGAAUGCCAGAAGACUGGAAAUUCUAUUAAUAAUAACUUACUUAAAAUUUUAAAAAUAAGUAAAUACCAACUGACCAUCAUCUGCAUAACCUUAUGCAAUUUUGUCUGAUUAAGCUUUUCAGUUUCUUAAUAUUAUAGAUGGAUCCUAUGAUCAAUUCUCCUUAAGGAGUAUUAAUUUUGCCUUUGUGAAGUAUUGGUAGGCCUCUUUUUGGAUGGCAGAAAGGACCGUGAUGUUUAUUUUGUUCCCCAUGUUGCCUUACCUUCCAGCAAAUUCCAACUUACAGUCUGAAUAGAGUCUGUAUAGACGUCUAGUGUUAAACAGCGUUUCUCAGCUUAACCCCAGUUCUAUUUAUAUUCUUUCUCUAACUGGCUUCCAAUCAACUUUUUCUUAAUAUAAUUUUGAAUUGCUCAGUUGUAUGUGGGUGCAUGUAUAUGUUUUUACCUAUAAAAAGUCUCAAAGUCUUUUUGAAAGUAGCCAGGGUUUAAACAUUAUAAUUAUAAACAACUCUUAGGCAGUUAUGCUCAUUUUAAUAUUAGAACUAUUGGAAUGAUAGGCAUGGCAGCGUUCCCUUGUUCUUGAUUUACUAUUUUAUGGCUGCUUAGGACACACGCACUCUUUCUUAAGCACAUAUUCUAACUAAAGACAAAUUAUAUUCUGAGACCACAAUAGAUUUCUUCUUAGGAAAGCCUAUUAAUUUGAUCAAAACACUCAAAAAUUUAUUUUAACUCUAGGGGAUAUAAUAUAUACAUCAUUAGAUCAGAGAUACAUUCAUAGUAAUUCAAAAUAACGGAGAAAUAUACAUUUUCUAUGUGACAUGAAAGUAGUUACCAAUGCUAUAAGAUGGAGAGAUGUUAAAAUAGUCAACUAUUUUUUAGACAAAAAAAGAUUAAAACUCCUGUUCCCAGAAGUACAAAAUGAUACAAACUAGGUAAGUCAGAAAGAGAUCUAAAAAAAUUCUAAAGCCAUUCCUAGUCCUUUGGAAAGCAUUAUAUAAUUCAGUAUUUAAAAGAUGAGAUAUUCAAACAAAUCUCUUUUUACCAAUACCUUUGAGUCUUAGAUUAACAAUGAACCAGGACAGUAAUUUUUCACUAAUGUAGUAAUUAGAAAUACAGAAUCAAGGUUUCUAAUGAUAUUACAUGAAUUCCUUGAUUUUGCAAGUCUUUAAUAUCAAAGAAGAUAGGUGGAUAAAUGGAGGGCUAGUUAAAAAAAUAAAAAAGAGGAAGAGGUCACAUUUGCCACAAAAUGAAGUCGUAGAAAAAGACAGAUUCUUUCCCUCCCAACAUAUUUUGUUGAGAAUGCCACUGAUUUUUAAAGACAAGUAGAUUUUAUUAUGUCCUUUCAGUUCUCAGUUGAUGUUUUCCAGCAAUAAACAAAUUAUUGGUUAAUUUUUCCAGAUGACAUUUACAAUUGACAAACCAAAUUUUCUCAAAUUGUUCUAUUAUUUUGUUUGUUUUGAAAUCUAGUAAGGCCCAGAGUGCCCUACAGAAGUGUUUGCUCAAUGGAUUCCCCAAUUUUAUGAAAGAUUCAUUACAAAAGCCUCAGAUUUUACUCAAAGAGUCUAGAUUUCACAGAGCAGAGUAAGACUACUCACAUAACUUUUGAAAUAUAGUAUACCUGAAAUGCUAACAUCAACUUUGACAGGUCCUGAAUUUUUUCCCCAUUAGCUUAUUGUAUAAUUCUGAUAAAUGGUAUUCCAAAAUCAAAAGUCACCCAUGACUGACAGGUUUUUAGUUUUAAUUUUUUCCAAAUAUUUUUCACUUUGGAAUUUUUACAUGAAUUCCAAAGUACAGAGAAACUAAUGUAUUUUAUGCUACUGGAAAAGUCAUGACAACUUGGUUUAUCCUUAAAUGAAAUACCAGAAGCUAUAUUCUGGGAAAUAUUUAAUGAUUGCUACAACUCUGUGUUAAUAAAAUGGAAACAACCAUGAGGGCUUAUGAAGAAACACAAACCAGUACACAGCGAAUGUCGGGGAUCCUCUUCGCUUUACGAUGACAUAUAAGACUCAAAGGGACACAAGUGGGCACAAUCAACAUUCUCUUACUGUCUACAAUUUUUGCAAAGUUUUUCAACUGCAUCCAGGGUGACAUUCUUACAGAAACUGAGUUUUACAUAUUCCAAACAAGUAUGACGAUAAGCCACUGAACAACCUCUAAAUAGGAAAAAGAGGAUGAAAAAGUUAUUAGAAUCAGUCAUUAAAUAUACUUUUUACAAAUAGUUUCUUGAAUUUUACCCUCAAACUUACCUUAGCCCUGACAUAUCACAAACCUUCCCCUCCCCUACCAGAGUGAAAAUACAAAUUGAACUUACUAAAUACACGUUUUAAGACAUUUGAUAAAAUGUCCCGACUGCAAAAAUCAGGCAUAAAAGGAAAACACUGGGGAAAAAUCAAGCAGAAAAAGAGACAACGAUCUAAAGACAUCUGAGUUUCAUUUUGAGAUUAUUAAAGAAAUAUUCCAGAGAAUUAUUACAGUGUUAUCAUUGUGAUGUGUAUUUAAUAACGAGGUGAAAAUAAUCAUUAUCUUAACCUCUGGCACCAGAAUUACUCAUGGGAGGGAACCAUCUGUUUUGGAUAAUACUGUGACACGUUAAUUUUGCUCACAAAUGAACUAGAAGAGCCUGAUUAACAUUAACCAGGUAGGAGGGAACAGCAGCCCAGGAAACAAGGGAGGAUGGUGGGGAGAGGGAGACAGGAGAACUAAGUUCACUCCAGAAUUUGUUAAAAUCAGAGACAUGGAAUUUUGAUCCUCUUAAGCAAAUGUUUACCUUUAUUUCGAGUCAAAAAGGCCUCUUUUGGGAUAAGGGAUCUCUGUAUAACCUGAAUCACUAGUUCUCAAAGGAUAUUUCCUGGGCCAGCAGCAUCAUCACCACCUGGGAAAUUGUUAGAAACUUCGAAGUCUCACCCUCAACCCACUGAAUCAGAAACGGGGGGGCUCACUAAUCUGUGUUUUAACAAGUCCCCAGGUGAUUUUUGAUGCAGAUAAAACUUGAGACUCACUGACCUCAAACGAUAGUUUGCAGCUGUCAAAGUAAGUUAAAAUGGAGGCCAGGCCUGAGGAAUCCCCAAGCAGGCAAAGCCAGUUAGUCCUCAUAAGUGACCUCGGCCUUCCUUGAUUUGCGAAUAUAAGCAAAACCUAACUUGAGCCAUUUCUUGUAAACACCUGUGUUAAACAGAAAUGAGGCCAGGCACAGUGGCUCACACCUGUAAUCCCAGCACUCUGGGAGGCCCAGCACUUUGGGAGGCCAAGGCGGGUGGAUCACCUGAGCUCAGGAAUUUGAGACUGGCCUGGCCAACAUAGUGAAACCCAUCUCUAUAAAAAUUAGUCGGGCGUGGUGGCAUGCAUCUGUAGUCCCAGCUACCUGGGAGGCUAAGGUGGGAGAAUCGUUUGAACCCAGGUUGCAGUAAGCAGAGAUUGUGCUGCUGCACUUCAGCCUGGGCAACGGAGCUAGACCCUGUCGAGAGAGAGAAGGGGUGGGGGGAGAGAGAGAGAGAGAGAGAAUGAAUAAAACUUCAGGCUAACCAAUAAGAAGCUGCCAACUAACUUUUAGCUAUAGUACUAGAAAUUUCCCAGCGGGUUAUAUUUGCAUUUCUCUAACAAUCAGUGAUAUUCAACUUUUUUUCAUAUGCCUGUUGGCCACAUGUGUGUCUUCUUUUGAGAAGUGUCUGUUCAUGUCCUUUGCCCACUUUUUAAUGUGGUUCUUUGUUUUUCUCUUAUAAAUUUGGUAAGUUCCUUACAGAUGCUAGAUAUUUGGCCUUUGUCAGGUGUAUAGUUUACAAAUAUCUUCUCCCAUUCUGUAGAUUGUCUGUUUACUCUGUUGUUAGUUUCUUUUGCUGUGCAGAAGCUCUUAAGUUUAAUUAGAUCAUAUUUGUCAAUUUUUGCUUUUGUUGUGGUUGCUUUUGGUGUCUUUGUCAUGAAAUCUUUGCCCAAUCCUAGGUCCAGAAUAGUUUCCCUAGGUUGUCUUCCAGGGUUUCUAUAGUUUGGAGUUUUACCAUUAGGUCUUUAAUCCAUCUUGAGUUGAUUUUUGUAUAGCGUGUAAGGAAGAGGUCCAGCUUCAGUAUUCUGCUUAUGGCUAGCCAGUUAGCCCAGCAACAUUUAUUGAAUAGGGAGUCUUUUCCCAUUGCUUGUUUUUGUCAGUUUUGUCAAAGAUUUUAGAUGUGUGGCCUUAUUUCUGGGCUCUGUAUUGUGUUCCUUUGGCCUAUGUGCCUUUGUACCAGUACCAUGAUGUUUUGGUCACUGUAGCCUUGUAGUAUAGUUUGAAGUCGGGUAACACUACACACUUAAACAACCAGAUCUCUCAGAACUCACUCGGUAUCAAGAAGACAGCACUAAACUAUUGAGGUAUCUGCUUCCAUGACCCAAACACCACCCACCAGGUCCUACUUCCAUCAUUGGGGAUUACAGUUCAACAUGAGAUUUGGGCAUAGACAAAUAUCUAAACUAUGUCAACAGUCUUGUGAUAUGAUGAUUAAAAAAAUACUCAUGUCAGAGAAUCAUCCUCAAAGAUCCCACCAACCUUAACAAAUUAUAUGUCUAGCAACAAAUUGUUUAAAAUAAGUGUAUAGGUAGAAAGGUUAAAAAUCUCAUUAAGCAACAUUUUUAAUUUGCUACUGGUUGGAUUUCCUAAAAAUUAUAAUUCUGAAUAAACAAAAGGCAUAUUCAGUACCAUAUCUGUGCCCUCCAAAAGCAUGAGCAUCUAAAACUCUUCUGUUAAGCUAGUUACCAAAAAUUAUGGAGCUGUAGGAAGACAGGUGAGAGUGGAGAACAGGAAGAAAGUGAUAGAAAUGAGGGGAAGUAGGUUUGUACCACACAUAUUUCCACUUCCCAGACCUGUUAUAUAAAGGAGACAGUCAUGCAUCACAAGUGGUAAUAAUGGAAAUAUAAGAGAGUCCCAUACAGAUAUGGCUGUGCCAACAUCAAAGGCAAAGGAACUUUCAUAGUUAAAUCCUAUGUAUGAUGACCUUUGCCCACCCCUGCAAGAUGAUAGAGCCAGAUAGUAUAGUGGCCCAUACACACUGUCAAAGAUAGCCUGGGUUAGAUUUUGAAAAUUUCACAUAGCAUACUAUGGAGGGUACUUCAUAAAGGUGACAACAGCAUGGAAAACUUCCAAGGACUUUCCCUAAAAGAAUUAUUCAGGUGUCAGUAAUAGAACACAUGUAUCUAAUAAGUCUAUUCCUCUCAAUGCUAAAAAUAAAUUAUACAUACAUAAAACAUUUCUUUCCCAUCUUUAAAAAUGGACAUUUUCUUUAAUUUCUGUUAAUAACAGAAAAAUUUCAUGGUACUAUCUCUAAGUACUGAAAUUCUGGUAUCUCAUUGGGUUCCAGUGAGUCAUUAGACUGGUGCAAUCUGGGAAAUAAAUCUUCCCUGCAAUAAUUAUGAAAAUACAAAAUUCUUGGUAGCAGAAAGUGAAACCCUAGUGGUCCAGACCAAGAUCACGGUUGGGACUAGCUGGCUAAAGAUGAAGCCUCGGACCAGAAACACAGUGGCGCAAAUGAAUCCAGACACAUUUGUCUACAACUUUUAUAAUAGACACAUCCUUUCUCAUUGGAAUAACAUCAGGCUGUGCUAUGAAGUGAAAAUGAAAACAAAGGACUCCUCAAGGCCCCUUUUGGUUGCAAAGACCUUUCAAGGCGAGGUCUAUUCCAAGCUUCAACACCACCCAGAGAUGAGAUUCCUUCAUUGGUUCCUCAACUGGAAGCUGCAUAGCGACCAGGAGUACAAGGUCACCUGGUUUGUAUCCUGGAGCCCCUGCCCAGUGUGUGCAAGGAAUGUGACCAAGUUCCUGGCCGAGGACAGUAAGGUCACCCUGACCAUCUUCGUGGCCCGACUCUACUCCUUCUGGGACCCUCAUUACCGUGAGGAGCUUCACAGACUGUGUCAGAAAAGAGACAGUCCGCAUGCCACCAUGAAGAGCAUGAAUUAUGGCAAAUUUCAACACUGUUGGGACAAGUUCCUGUACAACCAAAGAUUGUACAAGCCUUGGAAUAAGCUGCCUAAACAUUAUACAUUACUGCGCAUGAUGCUGGGGGAGGUUCUCAGACACCUGAUGGAUCCAGGCACAUUCACUUACAACUUUACCAACGACCUUUCAGUCCUUGGACAGCACCAGAUCUACUUGUGUUACGAGGUGGAGCACCUGCACAAUGGCACCUGGGUCCUGCUGGACCUGUACAGAGCCAUCAUACUCAACAAGGCUUCAAAUAAUUCCAGUUUCCCUGAAGGCCACCACGCAGAGCUGUGCCUCCUGGACCUAAUUUCCUUUUGGAAGCUGCACCCAGCCCAGUGCUACAGGGUCACCUGCUUCAUUUCCUGGAGCCCCUGCUUCAGCUGUGCCCAGGAGGUGGCUAAAUUCCAUCAAGAGAACCCACACAUGAGCCUUUGCAUCUUCUCUGCCUGCAUCUAUGAUUAUCAAUGAAGAUAUAAAAAGGGCCUGCACAGGCUGGACAAAGCUAGGGUCCCAAUUUCCAUGAUGAAAUACAAUGAGUUUAGGCACUGCUGGGACACCUAUGUGGAUCACCAGGGACACGCCUUCCAGCCCUAGGAGGGACUAGAUGAGCACAGUCAAACCCUGAGUGGAAGGCUUCAGGCCAUUCUUCAGAAUUAGGGAAACAGAUGGAUGAGCCUCAGUCUCUAAGGAAGCAGAGACCUGGGUUGAGCAGUGGUAUAAAAGAUCUUCCAAGAAAUGCAAGCAGGCCAUUCACCACCAUCUCCAGCUGAUCACAGAUGCCAGCAAAGCAAUGCACUCCUGACCAAGUAGAUUCUUUUAAAAAUUAGAGUGAAUUACCUUUAAUCAAAAAUUUAUGUGCUACAGUAGUAAGACUGUGCUCAAUAUACUCAGAAAAGUUUCAAGCCUACUAAUCCAGUGACAAUUUGAAUUAGUGUUAUAUGUAGAAUAAUACAAUCAAAUACUAAAUAUUUUCAUAUAUUAAAAAAAAGGACAAAUUCUUCAUAAUGAGUUUACUCAAACUUUUUUUGCUUUUUAAAAAAUAUAUUAGUAAAAGAAACAAUAACCACCUUUUCUUAAGUUAGUACAUGAGCUUAUGUACAAUAAAUAAUGCAUAUUCUUUGGAAUAAAGAAAAACUCAAGAGCAUUAUGAAAAACAAUGCCUAACAUAGAAUGCUGUCUCUGUGCCAGGCCCCUAAGACCUUUUCUGUAUUAGCUCACUUCAUCCCCGCAAUCAUCCUAAGGCAGGUGCUAUCAUCUUCAUGUUACUGAUGAGGAAACCGAGGCACAGAGAGGCUUGACUGACCUAUCCAAGGUCACACUGACAAUUAAAGAGCUGGACUUGGACCAGGGACUCUGUCUCCAAAGUUCACAUUCCAAAGCAAUUCUUCUUGUCAAAGUAAAUAAAACAGAUGCUUCAGACUUG
RNA transcript from Callithrix jacchus (white-tufted-ear marmoset), 14579 nucleotides. It is a transcript of the gene named DNA dC->dU-editing enzyme APOBEC-3G pseudogene, with no coding region annotated. NCBI's taxonomy places the organism in Eukaryota, Metazoa, Chordata, Mammalia, Primates, Cebidae. The record is from RefSeq and is a predicted model, not a curated record.